This 2138-nucleotide ribosomal RNA is filed under the name Flectobacillus sp. BAB-3569. RNAcentral's name for it is "bacterial LSU rRNA". It matches the Rfam family "Bacterial large subunit ribosomal RNA", at positions 1 to 2216 of the family's 2925-position model. The record is from RNAcentral. Lineage: Bacteria; Pseudomonadati; Bacteroidota; Cytophagia; Cytophagales; Flectobacillaceae.
AUAAGUGAAUUAAGGGUGUAUGGGGGAUGCCUAGGCUCUUGAAGGCGAUGAAGGACGUGUUAAGCUGCGAUAAGCUACGGGGAUUUGCACAAAAGAAUUGAUCCGUAGAUUUCCGAAUGGGGCAACCCAAUGGUUUGAAGAACCAUUACCACGAAGUGGGGCAAACCCGGAGAACUGAAACAUCUAAGUACCCGGAGGAAGAGAAAACAAAAGUGAUUCCGUAAGUAGUGGCGAGCGAACGCGGACUAGCCCAAACCGUUGUUGUUACGGCAAUGACGGGGUUGUAGGACGUUUUUUUAGAAAGGAUUUUAAUUUGAAUGAGUUGGGAAGCUCAGCCGUAGAAGGUGAUAGCCCUGUAAGAGUACAUAAUCUGGACGUAGACGAAUCCUGAGUAGGGGGGAGCUGGUGAAACUCCCUUUGAAUCAGCCGGCACCAUCCGGUAAGGCUAAAUACUAACAAGAGACCGAUAGUGAACGAGUACUGUGAAGGAAAGGUGAAAAGUACCCCGAAUAGGGGGGUGAAAAGACCCUGAAACCAUACACUUACAAGCGGUCGGAGCAGCGCGAUGCUGUGACGGCGUGCCUUUUGCAUAAUGACCCUACGAGUUACUCUUCCUGGCAAGAUUAAGGAUUGCAGAUCUGGAGUCGGAGCGAAAGCGAGUCUGAAAAGGGCGUUUAGUCAGGGGGAGUAGACGCGAAACCUUGUGAUCUACCCAUGGCCAGGUUGAAGGUGUGGUAACACACACUGGAGGACCGAACGAGUUUACGUUGAAAAGUAUUUCGAUGAGCUGUGGGUAGGGGUGAAAGGCUAAUCAAACUGGGAAAUAGCUCGUACUCCCCGAAAUGUUUUUAGGAACAGCGUCGUGGUUGAGUUUCAUGCAGGUAAAGCUACCAAUAGGACUAGGGGGAGUCAAAUCCUACCAAAUCCUGAUGAACUCUGAAUGGCAUGAAAUAUACACGGCAGUGAGGGCCGGGGUGCUAAGGUCACGGUCCGAGAGGGAAAGAACCCAGACCAACAGUUAAGGUCCCAAAAUCUAUACUAAGUUGAACAAAGGAGGUCUGAUUGCAGAGACAGCCAGGAUGUUAGCUUGGAAGCAGCUAUUCAUUUAAAGAGUGCGUAACAGCUCACUGGUCGAGCGAGGCGGGCAUCGAUAAUAAACGGGCAUCAAGUAUAGUACCGAAGCUUUGGAUUAUGUAGCGAUACAUACUGGUAGGGGAGCAUUCUGAUAGCGAUGAAGGUGAAUCGACAAGGUUUGCUGGAGUGAUCAGAAAAGCAAAUGUAGGGAUAAGUAACGAUAAUGGGGGCGAGAAACCCCCACGCCGAAAAGUCAAGGAUUCCUCAGCUAUGCUAAUCAACUGAGGGUUAGUCGGGGGCUAAGGGUCUAGCGAGAGCGACAAUCUAAUGCACAUCAGGUUAAUAUUCCUGAACUUACUAUUAGGGAAACACGAUGACGGAGAUUCGUGGUUGGCAGGUACUGACGGAAUAGUGCCUCUGAGUGGAAGCCGCAAGGCAGAUGCGAGUCAGCGAAGAAACUUCCAAGAAAAGUUGUGGAUCAUAACUUAAUAGUAACCCGUACCGUAAACCGACACAGGUGACUGGGAAGAAUAUUCUAAGGCGCUCGAGUGAAUCACGGCUAAGGAACUCGGCAAAUUAACCCUGUAACUUCGGGAUAAAGGGAGCCUACUCAGCGAUGAGAGGCCGCAGAGAAUUGGUCCAGGCGACUGUUUAACAAAAACACAUGGCUUUGCAAAAACGAAAGUUGACGUAUAAGGCCUGACACCUGCCCGGUGCUGGAAGGUUAAGAGGGGAUGUUAGGGCAACCGAAGCAUUGAAUCGAAGCCCCAGUAAACGGCGGCCGUAACUAUAACGGUCCUAAGGUAGCGAAAUUCCUUGUCGGGUAAGUUCCGACCUGCACGAAUGGUGUAACGAUCUGGACACUGUCUCAGCCGUGAGCUCGGUGAAAUUGUAGUAACGGUGAAGAUGCCGUUUACCCGCAACGGGACGGAAAGACCCCAUGAACCUUUACUAUAGCUUAGCAUUGAGUUCUGGUACUGGAUGUGUAGGAUAGGUGGGAGACUGUGAGAUGGUGUCGCUAGGCAUCAUGGAGUCAACGUUGAAAUACCACCCUUCUUGUACUG